AUGCUUUCUCAAUCAGCACCAAGCAAUCUGGAGGCCCCGGAGCAAUCCCAGCAUUCCUUGAGUGACCCAGACUCUUUCCUAUCAGAUAAUGAACUCAAGCUGCCGCAGUCUUCCGGGCCAAACCCACGACCAAAAUCCCUGGAACCAACGCAGUCACAGACAAACCCUGCACCGUUUAGCACGGCUGUAAAAACCCUAUCAAGUUCAUUUAACCAGUCCCCGUCAGAAGUAAAUUCUAGAGAAAAGUCAACUCCAUCAUAUGGGGAUGCUACGGUUUAUACGUCUUCUCCCUCCUUCUCUGGUGACCCUGAAUCAACCCAUCAAGCUCGGCAGGAUACAAAGUGCAUCCCAUCGAUUUCAUCACAUCCCUUAAAUGUCGUCCAGAAUCACCCUUUCACUGUGAGAAUGAAGGAGGAAGAGGAGCUAUCAAUGGACAGUGGAGAUGAAAUGUCCAGCGAUAGUCUGGAUCUGGCUUCACAUGACGGAGGCUCUUCAGAUGAAGACGCACAGAUGCGCGGACGUUUAACGAGACGGAGAUCCAGAGAAGGAGAGCAAGGGAUUUCUGCCACGUCUCAUCUCGGAGAUUCCUUUGUUCCUGCACAUGCAGACGUAGAAAAGGAUCUGCAGACUGAUGAGCCAGAACGGCUGUCAGAAGAACCAUACACGGUGACGCACAACUGGAGUGCUGGGUCUGGAUCAGAGCGAUUGUCUAGUCUGCGGGGGCUCUCCCCUCGCAGAGUGGAUUUGAAUUCUGCUCACUCUGACACGCCAGAACACACACACUUUGACCCAGGCUCAACAGAGUCAGAGUCUCCUGGACCAAGCGGCCGCCUCAGUACCAACACUGAGGGACACCUGUUUUUAAAAAUGGACAACAACAUGCAGGCAACUGGAAUUCAAAUUCGCUCGGCCACAACUUCCAGGAGAGGAGAAACAUCAGCAUAUGAACAAGCUACAUCUGCGUCUAACUGGUCGGGCAAGUCCUCUCCGACUCCUCCUCACCCCGCCAAAACAACCCCAAGUCCUCUCCCGGAACACGUCUCUCCCUGCCUCUCUCAUUCCCCAUCUCGUCCUCCUCGCUCUGCCUGCCUGUCCCGGCCCACGUCAGGCUCGGAAUUGAGCCCAGCAUUCCGCCUGUUGUCCCGGGCGGCCCAGCAGAUCACGGAGAACUGUGGCGUGGACCAGACGGGCUGCGGGGACUCUGACCUGGACACAGCUGCACACACGCUCUGCGGCCUCGAGCAAGGACUCCCGCUCAUGGCCCCGGGGACGCAUCGGGCUUCAUCGUGUGGUGAAAUGAACAGUGGAAGUCGAACUCAGCAUGGGAGUCAGUGACUGACACGGGACAGAGUCGGCGAGGAACAAAAGGAGGCGGAGGAGGCUGCACAGAGAGACCUGCAGUGUGUCCACUUACUACCCUGAGAUAUUUGCACACACACGCACUCACAUUGCAGAGUAGAGAGUAAAGCGGCAAAAAUACACAGUUUAAUUUAAAUUGUGUUCACAUGUUGUCAAGGCUGGUGUAGAUGCCCCUUUAACCUCUGAAUCUAAAUCUGCAUAGAACUCUCGUCGUGCAAAUAAAUGAAAAUCUAAUGCUUUGAAGAACAAUGCUGGAAUUUGAUUAAAACAAUGUUUUGGAUUUCGAGUUGGGAUUUAUCUCUGUAUGAAUGUGUACAUGUUCUCACUGCACUAUAUUUAUGUCACUCGUACACUGUAUGAAAGGCAGCUUUGAGAUACCCGCCUGUGGAUGGAUUAUCUGAAGGUAUACGAAACAAACAAUGAGACGGGAAAAGGACGAGUACAGUACGGAUCUUCAGCUUUGAUUUCUUUGUGUGUUUCCAAGUGUGUGUGUGUGUGUGUGUGUGUGUGGCGCGCUUGUGUAGGUGUGCUGUCGUUGAGUUACAGUUGGCUGUGGUGUAAAUUAUGAGGGAAUAAGUAUCUGUGCCAACGGCUGCCAUCUCUCCGUAUGUGUGUGCAGGAGUUGGGGAAGAUAAACACCAGGCACAGGAAUUGGUUUGUCUUCUCUGUAGUAAAUGCACAGUUGGUGUGUAUGGGAGUGUGUACUGUAUAGAAGUGGAAGUAUUUUUUCUCCAGGUUUUUCAUUACCCCCCCAUCCUGUCCUUGCCCACCAGAGCUGCCAGGGUCCUCGGCUGAGUUCACAAACCACCAGUCGCUCGUUUAUUUCCAGCCAACGCGCACGUGAGGAUCGGGACAGGGACAAACAGGUAAACACAGGAGACCGAUCGCUCCUGUGUUACACACUCCAACGCACACAAACUGUUUGAAGCAGCAUGGAUGUCGAAGAUGCCGUGAAGAGUGAGGUUCAUUUGUGAACUGUCCACGUGGCUGUGUGUGAAUUCGAGCAUAUGCGCGGGGGGGCACUGUUUACUUCAGUCACCGUCGAGGGAUGCACAGGUACUUUAUUUGACUCGAUGUUAAUCGCCAGGAGCGGACAGCGAAAGCCCUGUAAUCCAACAGCAAUCACAGCAAGACUGAUUGACAGCACACGGGCGGAGAGAGAGAGAGAGAGAGAGAGGAGGACCGAGAGACCCAGCGGCAAUGAGGAAGAGGGGUGAAAAUGGUAGAUUGCUUGUUAUUGUGUCCUUAACUGAGUUCAUCACUUACUGUUUAGGAGAGGAAAAUAACAGAGACACGAGUCUGAUGGAUAUCGAACCGCUGGGCCGGGUUUAACCAACUCUGAGAUCCGUGCACCUCUUUCUCUCCCUCUCUCUCACGCACGUGGAUACAAACGGACAGAGAACCAGAAAAGAGCGCUGACCUUUGUUGGGUGUUGAGUUGUCUGUGAUGUUGUUAAUGCCGUCAAGAAAGACAGUGACGGAGGAGGAGUUGACGUCUAAGUCCACUGUUAACUGACCCUUUUCCACAACUGGACUUCAGACUGGGUCGGAAAAACUGACAAAAAGACUCUUUUUUUUUGCUAAACUCUCUAUUUUUUAAUUAUCGAGGAAAACCCCAACUCAUUUUAAUACACAAUACAUAUUACAGUGGACAUUUAUUGCAAAGUCAAUCAGAAGAAUGCAGCUUCCCUUCCCCCCUUCCCUGUCUCCUCAAGUGUGAUUUUUUUUCCAUACUACUUUGCUUUUUUUUUUUUUUUCCUUUUUUCUUUUUACAGCAACUUGCUCGGUAGAUACAUUUUUGUUCUGCUUCUGGCUUCAUGUCCACUCAUUUUCUGAUGAAAAGCCAUUCAAUUUUCCUCAGUCAGAAUGCCCUGAAAGCACUGCCUUGUUCACACACACACACACACACACACACUCAUUAACCACCUACAGUGAGCCGCAAGGGACAGUGUCCACAAAAUGGGUCGAAAAUAGAAGAAAUUGCACUCCUGGCGCAGAAAGGGGUUCAGUUUUCUUAUAAAUCAAUCCCCUAUUAGCCUUUUUUAUGAACUCACGAGGGAAUCCUCUGACAAUGUUCUGCCGCAAACUCGGGUCUCUGCAAGACAUGCAGUGGUUUUCACCAAAGGUGAAGAUUUGUGGCAGCAUCAUCGCCGCCAUCACCCCAGGUAGAGGUAGCUGAACUCCCGGCAGCAGCUCGCGUCCACUUGUGCUGUAGCCCCCAUGUCAGGGGGUCACACUUUGCUGCAGCUGAUUUGAAGGACUGAGAUGACGUAACGCAGGUAAGUUUACGUUCGCACUUUUUACGGUUUCAUUUCGACCUAUUUGGUCCGCCCAACGAAGAGGCUCCAGGAAGAACUGAAGGCCGAAAUGCACGGAGACAAAAACACAACAUGAGCUCCGUCAGUUUACCCAUUCAGAAUAAUGUUGGGGGUUUUUUUGUUGGUUUUCUUUUGGUUUUUUAUGGUGUUGGUGAUGUCAUCGCUGACAUCAUGGGUUAAACCAACUGGUGGGGGUUUCUUUUCAGUGGGGACGUUUGGUUUGAUGCUUUAUCGUUUGUUCACGUCACGUGUUGAGAUACUCACCCUUCGUAUGGUGAAUUGGUGACGUAAUGAGCUUGGGAAUAGGAGUUUUACGAUUAGUUUAUGUUACCUGGUGUUAAGGGUACUGUAUGUGUCAACCCUCAGUGAACGCUGGUGUGGGCUGAAGUAGUUUAGGUGUCAAUUGAACACCCUAUAUAUUCACCUGGAGCCUUCCCUCUCGAGGUUGGGGGGGAACAAGGUGCGGCCAUGCGGCCAUGCUUGUCUGAGUUUUCAGUCAAUUUUCAGUUAUUGUCUUGAGUUUUUGACUGACUCACUCGUGGGGCUCUGAAGGCCCUGAAGCCUCCUGAGGUGAAAUCUGAACAAGGAAAACAGAACUUUGAAGGACAACUUCCAUUUUUUGGGAGCAAAUUCUAGGAACUGAGAACUUUUUUUUUUAAAUAAGUGGACCCUUACGGACUAAAGGAAUACAAACAAUCCAGGAAUGGAAAAGACAACUUCACCGCUGUAAAGGUAGGGAUUCCGCCAAUGUUUUGCAUCUUGCUUCAUGAUGCCGGUAAAUUCAAAAUGAAAGGCAAUUUUGCACUCGUGGUAUUAGUAAAAUGAACCCAAUGGGUGAGUUUUGGAGAAACUAACUAAAAGUGUAUAGUUGACGGAAACCGCUCUCGUUGCUGCAGGCUCUCCCCAUGUUCUGAGUGUGUGUUCGCUGAAGAGCACAAAACGAUGUGUGUUCAUGCUCGUAAGUUAGACAAGAAAGAGACAUUUGACGGGGAAGUUAAGUGGGCUGUUGUUCAGUCUGUGGCUCCAUGUGUAGGCGGAUGUUGUCUGGAUAGAAGGGGGACUCGACUGCUUCAUUCAAAGGUCUGAUUGGCUGCGUGCAAACGACAUCUCCAUCUCCACGGCUUGUGCUCUCAUUAAAUAAUAAAAAAUUUAAAAAAACCCUGGCAACAACAAAAGAUCAAAUGUAUUCAUUUUUCCUCAC
RNAcentral lists this long non-coding RNA (4877 nucleotides) under Scophthalmus maximus (turbot). Its description in RNAcentral is "lncRNA (ENSSMAG00000020420.2)". The record is from RNAcentral. Lineage: Eukaryota; Metazoa; Chordata; Actinopteri; Pleuronectiformes; Scophthalmidae.